Long non-coding RNA from Macadamia integrifolia, 1884 nucleotides. RefSeq lists it as uncharacterized. The record is from RefSeq and is a predicted model, not a curated record. NCBI's taxonomy places the organism in Eukaryota, Viridiplantae, Streptophyta, Magnoliopsida, Proteales, Proteaceae. The transcript has 4 exons.
UCUCUCUUUCUCUCUUUCUCUCUCUCUCUCUUGAAGGGAGUCUAGUGGCUUUAUAAAUACCCAUGAAGUGAUUCAGUCCAAGCAUCCAUCGCCUCGAACCUUAACUUCUCUCUAACUCGCUUUCUCUCUAUCUAUUUGAUGGAAGACAUUUAAAGAAUGGAAAAAAACGUUGGCUAUCUUCCCAACUUCUUCCCAAUCUUUAAAUGCCUUCCCUCAAUUGACCUAAACUGCAGAAGAAAAAGCAAAGAAAUGGAGAAACACAGAAGCAAAGAUGAAUUUGAUUUUAAAGAGUUCACUCACUACAACAAAAAUAGGUCAAUGCAAGGCAGUUGGUUUACAACAUACAGAGGGAGUCCUUCACCACUUGCGAAUUGCUUGGUGAAUGUUCUUCCAACUUCUGAUCUCAGCCUUGGGAAGAGGAAGGAUUUCUGUACAGACGAAGAUGGAUUUGAGGUUCGAAAACGAACGUUUGAACUCUGAAAACCAUUCCCACCGAUAGAUUUGAAGAAAAAGGGAGCAUUUGCCAUAAUAAUAACAGGGUAUGGUCGAUCAUCCCUAGCAACUUGCAGUUUCCGAUCUCCAUAUGCUGUUUCUAUAUCCCACCGAUGGAUUUGAAGAAGACGGUGACCAUCUGACCUAAUAGCAACUAGAUUUUCUGUGGAAGUGCAGGGUUCUAGUUUUUAAUCUGUUGUGACAAUACAAUAGGAUUUUGGAAAAUAUCAGCAGUAUCAAGUAAUUGUAUUACUACAGAGAACUUCCAGUAUUUAUUCUCAGGUAGGCAUUUUGCACUGUUCUGUUUCCUUGUUUCUCCUGUUAAAAACUGAGCUAUUGGCUGACCUUGUUUUAAUUUUUUCUGCCUGAAAGUUUGUUGUGGCUUUCUAUCAACUAUUUUGAUGUUCAAUUGUCAGGAUUUUGUUAAGGUAAUCUGUUUGCAUGAAACAGAUGAACUCAUGAAAGUCAUGAGGGUGCACAUAGCCUUGUGAAACAGAACUUUCUGGAUACCUUAUAGUGGCUUCAAUUAUUUAAUGGUGCCUCACUAAUCACAACCUUUUCAGAUUCUUAGUGGGAACCAAAUCAAGUAUUGAGAGUAAGAACCAAAACAGAGUGGCAGAGCAAAUGGAGUUUGUAUCAAUCAACUCUCUUCUAGUAUUGAAAGUAAGAACCAAAUCAGAUAUAUUAUUUUAAAUAAUAUAGUUUUUAUACCCUUUUAUAUAUUGUCAAUGCUAUUACACUGGCUGUUCAUUGCUACACAACUGUCAACAAUGAGUAGCAUACAUGCUGGAACUUCUGAUCCAAAGUUGACACAAGACAACGCCCAUUUUGAGAGAGGGAGGUUAAUAAAUUACAUGGGGAGUCUUUAAAACAUAACUGGUGUGACACUCUAUUCUAGAUGGGUUCAGGUUAGUCACUGACAUGGGGAGCCUUUAAACAUAACUGGUAGGAAACUCUAUUGUAGAUUCUAACUGAUUGAUCCUUAUUUCCUGUCAUCCUAGUGGUUUUGGAAUACUUGUCAGUUAAACCAUCAAAUUGAGGCCGAAAGGAAAGGCGACAGCUCUAAGUGAAGAAGAAGAAACACGAAAUUAAGCAAGCCAUUGGGUUCUCUGUUAAUCUACUUCUACAACAGUCCAACAACCUUUAUUCAUCCUUUUAACCGCCCAAUGAAUUUUCUAGCAAGAAUAUUGAUUAUUAAGCAAGGGCAAAAAGAAAAGGGAUGGGAGAAGAAGACAACUUGCAACCAUUGGAUCAUUACAACCUCUGGCGUAAUGAAAGCUUAUUAUUGCUGAUGACAAUAUGGCAGAUGUCUUUAACUAAUAAAGCUACCAUGUAACAUUUGUAAAGUUUUCCUUCUAUUAUUCCAAAAAUAUGAAAAAAUAUGAGAUUUGA